RNAcentral lists this ribosomal RNA (384 nucleotides) under uncultured eukaryote. Its description in RNAcentral is "partial 18S ribosomal RNA". It matches the Rfam family "Eukaryotic small subunit ribosomal RNA", at positions 592 to 976 of the family's 1831-position model. The record is from RNAcentral.
CAAGGGCGUAUAUUAAAGUUGUUGCAGUUAAAAAGCUCGUAGUUGGAUUUCUGUCAAGAGCAAGCGGUCCGCUCCUUUGGAGUGUGUACUUGCGUCGUUUUUGACUUUCUUCUGAACCUUGCUGUUUCCCCUUCAUUGGGUGAGGCAGUUUGGCAGAACCUUUACUUUGAGAAAAUUAGAGUGUUUCAAGCAGGCUAGCGCCUUGAAUACUGCAGCAUGGAAUAAUAAGAUAGGAUUUCAGUUCUAUUUUAUUGGUUCUAAGGACUGAAAUAAUGAUUAAUAGGGACAGUUGGGGGCAUUCGUAUUUAACUGUCAGAGGUGAAAUUCUUAGAUUUGUUAAAGACGAACUACUGCGAAAGCAUUUGCCAAGGAUGUUUUCAUUAA